Molecule: ribosomal RNA, 588 nt
Filed under: Tachyusina gen. sp. 1 ZMUN 10029142
Lineage: Eukaryota; Metazoa; Arthropoda; Insecta; Coleoptera; Staphylinidae
Description: partial 16S ribosomal RNA
Rfam family: Bacterial large subunit ribosomal RNA
Source: RNAcentral
UUGAAUGGCCGCAGUAUAUUGACUGUGCAAAGGUAGCAUAAUCAUUAGUUUCUUAAUUAGAAACUGGAAUGAAUGGUUGGACGAGAGAAUAGCUGUCUCUUUAUAAAUUGUUUAGAAUUUUAUUUUUAAGUUAAAAAGCUUAAAUAAAUUUAAAAGACGAGAAGACCCUAUAGAGUUUUAUAUAUGUAUUUAUUAAUAAUAUUUUUAGAAUAAUGUUAUAUUUUUUUAAAAAUUAUAUUUAGUUGGGGUGAUUAAAAAAUUUAAUAAACUUUUUUUUUAUAUAAACAUUAAUUUAUGAAAUUUUGAUCCAUAAAAAUGAUUAUAAGAUUAAAUUACCUUAGGGAUAACAGCGUAAUUUCUUUGAAGAGUUCUAAUCGAUAAAGAAGUUUGCGACCUCGAUGUUGGAUUAAAAUUAAGUUUUGGUGUAGAAGCUAAAAUAUUAGGUCUGUUCGACCUUUAAAAUUUUACAUGAUCUGAGUUUAAACCGGUGUGAGCCAGGUUGGUUUCUAUCUUUAAAAAAAAUUAAUAUUUUAGUACGAAAGGACCAAAUAUUAGUAAAAUUUAUUUUUAAUUGAUUAUUAUUAAAUU